Molecule: non-coding RNA, 124 nt
Organism: Hordeum vulgare subsp. vulgare (domesticated barley)
Lineage: Eukaryota; Viridiplantae; Streptophyta; Magnoliopsida; Poales; Poaceae
Source: Rfam
AAAAUACUUCCUCCGUCCGGAAAUACUUGUCAUAGGAAUGGAUGUAUUUAGAUGUAUUUUAGUUCUAGAUACAUCUAUUUUUAUAUUUUGUGCGACAAGUAAUUCCGAACGAAGGGAGUAAAAA